GUACUACAACCCCAAGGAUUACAGAUCCCAGGCACCAUCAAGUAACUCUAGCAAAGGACCUCAUUCAAGCUCAUUGCCUUUCCAGAGCUGCCGCACAGAAAAUGUUCGAUAUAAGUGAAGCCACGGAAGCCAAAGUUACAAGCGUUGUUGCUAAGUGGCUUCAACAAGCCAAAACCAGAUGUGAAAGAAGAAUUUUUUCAGAGGGAAAAAACCUACCACUGUGGACAAUGGGGAAGAGGUUCCACUCAGUGGGGAUGAAGAUCCAAAAAUAAAUUAUGAAUCUAAAAAGUGAUACAUUUGAAAAUAAAUGUAAAUGUAAAAUUUUAGCGUGCUUGGACUGUAGUCUAGGGAUCGUCACCUUAGUUA
Molecule: long non-coding RNA, 366 nt
Organism: Macrosteles quadrilineatus (aster leafhopper)
Lineage: Eukaryota; Metazoa; Arthropoda; Insecta; Hemiptera; Cicadellidae
Exons: 3
Source: RefSeq, a predicted model, not a curated record